UACGGAGGAUGCAAGCGUUAUCCGGAAUGAUUGGGCGUAAAGGGUCCGCAGGUGGAACUGAAAGUCUGCUGUUAAAGAAUCUGGCUCAACCAGAUAAAAGCAGUGGAAACUACAGAACUAGAGUAUGGUAGGGGUAGAAGGAAUUCCUAGUGUAGCGGUGAAAUGCGUAGAUAUUAGGAAGAACACCGGUGGCGAAAGCGUUCUACUAGACCAAGACUGACACUGAGGGACGAAAGCUAGGGGAGCGAAUGGGAUUAGAUACCCCAGUAGUCCUAGCCGUAAACGAUGGAUACUAGGCGUGGCUUGGAUCGACCCGAGCCGUGCCGGAGCCAACGCGUUAAGUAUCCCGCCUGGGGAGUACGCACGCAAGUGUGAA
This 376-nucleotide ribosomal RNA is filed under the name uncultured bacterium. RNAcentral's name for it is "bacterial SSU rRNA". It matches the Rfam family "Bacterial small subunit ribosomal RNA", at positions 524 to 898 of the family's 1533-position model. The record is from RNAcentral.